This 274-nucleotide ribosomal RNA is filed under the name uncultured bacterium. Its description in RNAcentral is "partial 16S ribosomal RNA". It matches the Rfam family "Bacterial small subunit ribosomal RNA", at positions 523 to 796 of the family's 1533-position model. The record is from RNAcentral.
AUACGAAGGGGGCUAGCGUUGUUCGGAAUUACUGGGCGUAAAGCGCGCGUAGGCGGAUUGGUCAGUUAGGGGUGAAAUCCCAGGGCUUAACCCUGGAACUGCCUCUAAUACUGCCAGUCUUGAGUUCGGGAGAGGUGAGUGGAAUUCCUAGUGUAGAGGUGAAAUUCGUAGAUAUUAGGAAGAACACCAGUGGCGAAGGCGGCUCACUGGCCCGAUACUGACGCUGAGGCGCGAAAGCGUGGGGAGCAAACAGGGUUAGAAACCCUAGUAGUCC